Molecule: ribosomal RNA, 847 nt
Filed under: Chaetomium globosum
Lineage: Eukaryota; Fungi; Ascomycota; Sordariomycetes; Sordariales; Chaetomiaceae
Description: eukaryotic LSU rRNA
Rfam family: Eukaryotic large subunit ribosomal RNA
Source: RNAcentral
GCGGAGGAAAAGAAACCAACAGGGAUUGCCCUAGUAACGGCGAGUGAAGCGGCAACAGCUCAAAUUUGAAAUCUGGCUUCGGCCCGAGUUGUAAUUUGCAGAGGAAGCUUUAGGCGCGGCACCUUCUGAGUCCCCUGGAACGGGGCGCCAUAGAGGGUGAGAGCCCCGUAUAGUUGGAUGCCUAGCCUGUGUAAAGCUCCUUCGACGAGUCGAGUAGUUUGGGAAUGCUGCUCAAAAUGGGAGGUAAAUUUCUUCUAAAGCUAAAUACCGGCCAGAGACCGAUAGCGCACAAGUAGAGUGAUCGAAAGAUGAAAAGCACUUUGAAAAGAGGGUUAAAUAGCACGUGAAAUUGUUGAAAGGGAAGCGCUUGUGACCAGACUUGCGCCGGGCGGAUCAUCCGGUGUUCUCACCGGUGCACUCCGCCCGGCUCAGGCCAGCAUCGGUUCUCGCGGGGGGAUAAAGGUCCUGGGAACGUAGCUCCUCCGGGAGUGUUAUAGCCCGGGGCGUAAUGCCCUCGCGGGGACCGAGGUUCGCGCAUCUGCAAGGAUGCUGGCGUAAUGGUCAUCAGCGACCCGUCUUGAAACACGGACCAAGGAGUCAAGGUUUUGCGCGAGUGUUUGGGUGUAAAACCCGCACGCGUAAUGAAAGUGAACGUAGGUGAGAGCUUCGGCGCAUCAUCGACCGAUCCUGAUGUUUUCGGAUGGAUUUGAGUAGGAGCGUUAAGCCUUGGACCCGAAAGAUGGUGAACUAUGCUUGGAUAGGGUGAAGCCAGAGGAAACUCUGGUGGAGGCUCGCAGCGGUUCUGACGUGCAAAUCGAUCGUCAAAUCUGAGCAUGGGGGCGAAAGA